RNAcentral lists this long non-coding RNA (584 nucleotides) under Drosophila guanche. The record is from RNAcentral. Lineage: Eukaryota; Metazoa; Arthropoda; Insecta; Diptera; Drosophilidae.
AUCGAAACAAAUAAAACCUUGCUUUAGUUCGAAUCGAAAAAAUAUGGUUGAGUAGUGUAACAGAUUGAGCAAUUGAGCCAAAAGGGGUGUGGCCAUUGCAACCCCUGCUGCACCAUCCAACUAAAGAGUCGACAAACAAUUUCAUUAACCAAACUCAGUGACUACGCACUCGUAUUCAAAUUCAAAUUCAAAUUCAAAUUCAAAUCCUCAGCUGCAACCCCAUCUAUCCGGAGUCGUCGUAUAUGCACACUCAGACAAGGACUUUGAAGAGCCCAUUUAUGUUGAAAUAAUUCCAUGGGGGUGUGUGUGCACAGAUUUCGUUUCAGCCCUAUAACAAUUAUGUACAUAUAAUUAUGUAUAUUUAUGCAUAGCUACAUCAACCCACUUAUGUAUGAUUGUUCUUAUGAGACUAGAUGGACACAUAGCUAAUCGAUUAUGUAUGCAGCACAGUAACCCAAAUAUCCCAAAUAUCCCAAAUAUCCAUUACUGAAAAUGUAUAAGUCGAAAAUCGCCAUGCUAAAAUAAAGUAAAAAAAUAAAUAAAUUAAUAAGAGACAAAAUCUUGCAAGGAACAUAAGGUUCAAG